This 522-nucleotide ribosomal RNA is filed under the name Fusarium solani. RNAcentral's name for it is "eukaryotic LSU rRNA". The stretch from base 136 to 289 matches the Rfam family "5.8S ribosomal RNA". The record is from RNAcentral. Lineage: Eukaryota; Fungi; Ascomycota; Sordariomycetes; Hypocreales; Nectriaceae.
CUCAUCACCCUGUGACAUACCUAAAACGUUGCUUCGGCGGGAACAGACGGCCCUGUAACAACGGGCCGCCCCCGCCAGAGGACCCCUAACUCUGUUUUUAUAAUGUUUUUCUGAGUAAACAAGCAAAUAAAUUAAAACUUUCAACAACGGAUCUCUUGGCUCUGGCAUCGAUGAAGAACGCAGCGAAAUGCGAUAAGUAAUGUGAAUUGCAGAAUUCAGUGAAUCAUCGAAUCUUUGAACGCACAUUGCGCCCGCCAGUAUUCUGGCGGGCAUGCCUGUUCGAGCGUCAUUACAACCCUCAGGCCCCCGGGCCUGGCGUUGGGGAUCGGCGGAAGCCCCCUGUGGGCACACGCCGUCCCUCAAAUACAGUGGCGGUCCCGCCGCAGCUUCCAUUGCGUAGUAGCUAACACCUCGCAACUGGAGAGCGGCGCGGCCAUGCCGUAAAACACCCAACUUCUGAAUGUUGACCUCGAAUCAGGUAGGAAUACCCGCUGAACUUAAGCAUAUCAAUAAGGCGGAGGA